AUACGUAGGUGGCAAGCGUUAUCCGGAAUUAUUGGGCGUAAAGAGGGAGCAGGCGGCAGCAAGGGUCUGUGGUGAAAGCCUGAAGCUUAACUUCAGUAAGCCAUAGAAACCAGGCAGCUAGAGUGCAGGAGAGGAUCGUGGAAUUCCAUGUGUAGCGGUGAAAUGCGUAGAUUUAUGGAGGAACACCAGUGGCGAAGGCGACGAUCGGGCAUGCAACUGACGCUCAGCCCCGAAAGUGUGGGAAGCAAAUAGGAUUAGAUGCCCUAGUAGUCCACGCCGUAAACGAUGAGUACUAAGUGUUGGAUGUCAAAGUUCAGUGCUGCAGUUAACGCAAUAAGUACUCCGCCUGAGUAGUACGUUCGCAAGAAUGAAACUCAAAGGAACUGACGGGG
RNAcentral lists this ribosomal RNA (392 nucleotides) under uncultured bacterium. RNAcentral describes it as "partial 16S ribosomal RNA". It matches the Rfam family "Bacterial small subunit ribosomal RNA", at positions 523 to 918 of the family's 1533-position model. The record is from RNAcentral.